GCGGCCUAUCAGCUUGUUGGAGGGGUAACGGCCCACCAAGGCAACGACGGGUAGCUGGUCUGAGAGGAUGGUCAGCCACACUGGGACUGAGACACGGCCCAGACUCCUACGGGAGGCAGCAGUGGGGAAUAUUGGGCAAUGGAGGAAACUCUGACCCAGCGACGCCGCGUGCGGGAUGAAGGCCUUCGGGUUGUAAACCGCUUUCAGUAGGGAAGAAGCGAAAGUGACGGUACCUACAAAAGAAGCACCGGCUAACUAUGUGCCAGCAGCCGCGGUAAUACAUAGGGUGCAAGCGUUGUCCGGAAUUAUUGGGCGUAAAGAGCUCGUAGGUCGUUUGUUACGUCGGAUGUGAAAACCUGAGGCUCAACCUCAGGCCUGCAUUCGAUACGGGCAAACUAGAGUUUGGUAGGGGAGACUGGAAUUCCU
Molecule: ribosomal RNA, 426 nt
Filed under: uncultured Actinomycetes bacterium
Lineage: Bacteria; Bacillati; Actinomycetota; Actinomycetes
Description: bacterial SSU rRNA
Rfam family: Bacterial small subunit ribosomal RNA
Source: RNAcentral